RNAcentral lists this long non-coding RNA (2860 nucleotides) under Homo sapiens (human). Its description in RNAcentral is "HSALNT0094903". Lineage: Eukaryota; Metazoa; Chordata; Mammalia; Primates; Hominidae. The record is from RNAcentral.
GGGAUGGGCUUACCUUCCACUGUGAGAGUUACCUGAAGCUCGGUGUCCUUGAUGGUGUAGGGUGCUUCCGAGGCAAUCGGGCAGUGUCAGUCUUCAGCUGCUAAGCCAAGAAGAUCUGGGAAGGAAUCAGAGAGCCUUGGGCUAGAGCUUUAGGGGCUCUAGGAAUGGCUGCCAGGUGAGCUGGGCAGUCUGAUUUCCAGUGGGUCCCUGCACAGAUGGGACAUGGCUUGGGAGGAAUCCCAGGCUACGGGCAUUCCUUGGCCCAGUGGCCAGAUUUCUGGCACUUGAAGCAAGAUCCUGUUGGAGGAAGUCUUGUAGGAAUGCUUGACUGCUGCGGCUUAGGCAUUUUGAAGUUCUCAUAUGCAGGAGGUGUGGCUGGGUUUUCUCUCACAGCAGAGGCAAGUAAUUGUAACUCAGAAACGCGUUGCCGUCUGGCUGCUUCCUCUCUAUUAUUGUACACCUUGAAGUACUACUUCUCCUUCCUGAUGCCACGUGAAGAAGGACAUGUUUGGUUACCCUUCUGCCAUGAUUCUGAGUUCCCUGAGGCCUCCUCAGCCCUGCAGAACUGUGAGUCAAUUAAACCUCUUACCUUUAUAAAUUACCCAGUCUUGGGCAGUUCUUUAUAGCAGCAUGAGAACGGACUAAUACAGUAAAUUGGUACUGCAGAGAGUGUGGUGCUGCUGUAAAGAUACUAGAAAAUGUGGAAGCAACUUUGGAACUGGGUAACAGGCAGAGAUUGAAACACUUUGGAGGACUCAGAAGAAGACAGGAAAAUGGGAAAGUUUGGAAUUUCCUGGAGACUUGAAGGGCUCAGAAUAUAGGAAGGCGUGGGAAAGUAUGAAAAUUCCUAGAGACUUGUCGAAUGGCUUUGAAAAAAAAUCUGAUAGUGAUAUGGACAAUGAAGCUCAGGCUGAGGUGGUCUCAGAUGGAGAUGAGGAAUUUAUUGGGAACUAGAGCAAAGGCGAUGCUUGUUAUGCUUUAGCAAAGAGACUGGAGGCAUUUUGCCCCUGCCCUAGAGAUCUGUGGAACUUUGAACUUGAAGGAGAUGAUUUAGGAUAUCUGGUUGAGGAAAUUUCUAAGUGGCAAAGUGUUCAAGAAGCAGAGCAUAAAAGUUUGGAAAAUUUACAGAAUGAUGAAGCAAUGAAAAAGAAAAACCCAUUUUCUGGGGAGAAAUUUAAGCCUGAUGCAGAAAUCUGCAUAAAUAACGAGUAGCUGAGUGUUAAUCACCAAGGCGAUGGGGAAAAUGCCUCCAGGGCAUGUCAGAGACCUUCACAACUGCCUCUGUUAUCAUAGGCCUGGACGCCUUGGGGGGAAAAAUGGUUUCAUGAGCUAGGCCAGGGCCCCCCUGCAGUAUGCAGCUUUGGGUAUGGUGUCCUGUGUCCCAGCUGCUUUAGCUCCAUCUUUGGUAAAAAGCAUCAAGGUACAGCUUGGGCCAUUGCCUUAGAGGGUGCAAGCCCCAAGCCUUGGUGGCUUACAUGUGGUGUUGGACCUGCAGGUGCACAAAGGUCAAGAAAUGAGAUUUGGGAACCUACACCUAGAUUUCAGAGGAUGUAUGGAGACAGCUGGAUGUCCAGGCAGAAGUUUGCUGCAGGGGUGGAGGCUUCAUGGAGAACCUCUGUUAGGGCAGUGUGGAAAGGAAAUGUGGUGUUGGAGCCCACACACAGAGUCCCCACUGUGGCACUGCCUAGUGGAGCUGUGAGAACAGGGCCACCAUCUUCCAGCCCCCAGGAUGGUAGAUCCACCAACAGCUUUCACCAUGCACCUGGAAAAACUGCAGACACUCAACAUUAGCCCAUGAAAGCAGCCAGGAGGGGUGCUGUUUUCUGCAAAGCCACAGGAGCUGAGCUGCCCAAGGCUGUGGGAGCCCACUUCUUACAUCAGUUUGCCCUGGAUGUGAGACAUGGAAUCAAAUGAGAUCAUUUUGGAGCUUUAAGAUUUAGCUGCCCUGCUGGAUUUCGGAUUUGCAUGGGACCUGUAGCCCUGUCCUUUGGCUGGUUUCUCCCAUUUGGAAUGGGUGUGUCUACCCAAUGCCUGUACUCCCAUUGUAUUUAGGAAGUAACUAACUUGCUUUUGAUUUUACAGGCUCAUCGGUAGCAGGGACUUGCCUUGUCUAAGAUGAGACUUUGGACUUGGACUUUUGGGUUAUGCUGGAAUAAGUUAAGAUUUUGGGAUACUGUUAGAAGGGCAUGAUUGUGUUUUGAAAUGUGAGGACAUGAUAUUUGGGAGGGGACAAGGGUGGAAUAAUAUGGUUUGGCUCUGUGUCCCCACCCAAAUCUCACCUUAAAUUGUAGUUCCCAUAAUCCCCAUAUGUCAUAGAAGGGACCUGGUAGGAGGCAAUUUAAUCAUGGGGGAGGUUACCCUCAUGCUGUUCUUGUGAUAGUGAGUGAGUUCUCGUGAGAUCUGAUGGUUUUAUAAGGGACUUUCCCCCCUUUUACUCGGCACUUCUUCCUGCCACCAAGUAAAGAAGGAUGAGUUUGCUUCCCCUUCCACUAUGAUUAUAAGUUUCCUGAAGCCUCCCCAGCCCUGCAGAACUGUGAAUCAAUUAAGCCUCUUUCCCUUAUAAAUUACCCAGUCUUGGGCAGUUCUUUAUAAUAGUGUGAGAAUAGACUAAUACAGGGUAGAUACCGAGUAGUGGGAUUGCUGGCUCAAAUGGUAGAUCUCCUUUUCAUUCUUUAAGGGAUCUCCAUACUGCUUUCCGUAGUGGUUGUACUAGUUUACAUUCCCAUCAUCAGCAUAAAAGUGUUCCUUUUUCAUCACAUCCACACCAACAUCUAUUUUUUUAUGUUUAAAUUAUGGCCAUUCUUGCAGGAGUAAGGUGGAAUCUCAUUGUGAUUUUCAUUUUCAUUUCACUGAUAACUAG